GUUGUAUGAUUUGCUUCUGUGUUUUGUUUCAGGUCACUGUGCUUUUCGUUUUUUGGGGCUUCUGUAUACAAGCUUGGAAGCCAAUUAUGUUCAAGGUUAUGGAUGCAUGAUUGGUUGUUGGUUGAAGUGAUUUCUCCCCACCGCAUCGCGUCCAGAAGAUCAGGUUUAAUAAUUUUCGCACAUUCUUCAAUCGAUUCUGUCAAUUUUUUCAUCAAUUCUGUCAAUUUUUUUUAUGAAUUACACAGCUCUGGUUUUGAAUCUUUGUUUGGUGAUCGAAGAUUGAUUUCUUUGUCUCUUCAUUGUCGAUUCAGGUGCUCACCUCACAUGGCUUCAUUGGAGAUGUGAUGGUUUUGCUUAAGUGUUUUAGAUAAUCUGAAAAAAUAUGUAGAUACUAUGAUUUGGGGUUGCUUCCUUAAACCGUGAUAAAGCAGUCCAUGUAAUUUUAGCAUGGUAUCAUUUUUUAUCUAAUGCAUGAGUAUAAGAAAUGUUAAGACAAUAGUAUAUUGGGAAACACCAUGUGAUUUAAAAUGCAAAGAGAAACAAUGAACCAUGUUUUAUAUUUU
Malus domestica (apple) is the source of this 563-nucleotide non-coding RNA. NCBI's taxonomy places the organism in Eukaryota, Viridiplantae, Streptophyta, Magnoliopsida, Rosales, Rosaceae. The record is from RefSeq and is a predicted model, not a curated record.